Helianthus annuus (common sunflower) is the source of this 2181-nucleotide long non-coding RNA. RefSeq lists it as uncharacterized. The record is from RefSeq and is a predicted model, not a curated record. The transcript is spliced from 5 exons. NCBI's taxonomy places the organism in Eukaryota, Viridiplantae, Streptophyta, Magnoliopsida, Asterales, Asteraceae.
ACUAUAUAUAAGCAUUUCCUAUGUCUAGAAAUGUAAUUUCACCCACAGUUUUUAAGACGUCAUUCCAAACGUCAUCUUGCGUUUCCCUAAUUUUACACCCUCUCUCCCAAAUCUGCCCCCAUUAAGUGCAAUCUCAAUGUUUCCUUCAACCAAAACCUCCUUGUAAAUCGAAGAAGCAAAUGAAACGGUGGGAGCAAUAAGAAUUGAAUGUUAUUGAAUCGUUUGCCAUCUCCAUUUAUAGUUAUAUUGAAUGUCGAAUUUCAUGACUUCUUCAGUUGCGAAACCGUUGUAUAAAUCAAAUACCUCAAGGCUGAAACGAUUCCCGUCGCCGCCUAUAUCUGCGUCACCACACUCGAUUGUUUUUCUCUUCCUCCCAUCUCGAAUCUGUUGGCUGCUUCUUCCCUCAUUGUACUCACCGAAGAUAAAUUUUGUGCAAGAUCUAAACACGGACCCUAAGCUUGCAUCUGAAGAUAAUUAUGUUGAUGUUAUCACGAAUGUGGUGCGUGUUGUGCAUAGAUAUUCACAUAACCUUGAACCAGGCUAUGACUAAAUCGUAUUGCACUGCAGGUACCCACUAGCGAGAACGACUGGGACGAUGAAUAUGCAAUUAACAUUAUUACUCACUUUUGAAAUAUGCAAUUAUGUUAUAUGUAUAUGAACUAUAUUCAGGAACCCUGUGUAUCAUUUUAAAAGUUUCAGUUCAAAUUCAUGAUUUUGAAUGAAAAAACUAAAAAUAGGUUGUGUCGUUUCUCAUAUCAUUGACUAAGGUGAUCCACUAGCACAAAAUGAGUAAGCAAAUACAUGUACAUGCUACAUAGCAGGCGUUUUAGUUUUAGUUUGUGCCUUAAGAGAGAACUUUCAUUAGACCAAGAAUUGUGCUUACUCGACCCGAAACCCGUUCUUACCCGGACCCGUUCUGACCCAGACCCGCUCCGACUCGGAGCUGUUCUGACCCGGACCCGUUUCGACUAGCUCUCCAUUUUGGUGUAAAUGUCAACGUGAUUACUGGUAAUCAAUUAUCUUCUGAUUAUAUUGAAUAACUACUUUUAUUUUUAAUUUCUGUUUUCAUCUAAAUACGACUGUAUGCGAUCAACUUGCCAUUGCUAAGGAGAAUGAUAAACGACUCGGUAUUGGAACAAACAUGUACCCUUUCUCUUCUUUGCUUGGUGGCCACAACGAACGAUGCAUCAAUUGCAUUGCAACACUCCUUAUUGAAGAGUUGAUAGAGAAAGCUGAUGGAUUUUUUUUUCAGAACAUAAGUAUGAGAUUGUGAAUAAGUUACGAGAAACAAAACACAUUUGUGGGAUUACUGAAGAUGGUGUGAACGACGCCUCUGCUUUGAAGAAGGUCGGCAUUGGAAUUGUUGUUGCUGACGCUACAGAUGCUGCAAGGAGUGUUUCUGACAUUGUGCUUACCCAACCUGCCUGGGCUUAGUGUUAUUAUCAGUGCAAUGCUUACAAGUCGCACAAAACAGUCGUUGAUUCUAAAACGCUCCAAACUUGAUUCUAAAAUGUCACCAGACAGUCGUUGAUCCGACUUCCAAGUUUCAACAAGGAUACUAAGCCUUCUUCAAACCCAUCCAACGAAUCAAACUUCUGUUGUAGGGAGUAACUAAAUUAAUGGGUACGCCGGCAAUCCUAAAUUUGGGGCAACAAUGCUCCGUCGGGGAUUGUAAGCUCAUCGAUUUUCUUCCCUUCACCUGCGAUUGUUGCAAUAAGUCAAAACCGGAGCAUGAACACCCUUAAGUCUCAGAUUGACGCAUUUGUAGGUAAAGGGGUUGAACCUGACACCUCUAUGCUCAGAUUGAGUGGUCCGAGCCGUGGUCAGGGUGGGACCACCAGGACGAGCACGAGCACAGGCACGAGCAAUGGUGGUCAAGUGGAGGUGUGUCCAUCUUGUAAUGUGAAGUUUUCUAAGAUUGGAGAUUUGAUCACGUAGAGAAAGUUCAUGAGAAGAACGGUGUGAUGAAAGCGACGUUAGAUGUGUGCCCAAAAUGUAGCAAAGGGUUUUGUGACCCGGUCUCGCUUGUGGAGCAUGUCGAAAGAGAACAUCGUGGUACUUUUAAAGCUUUGACUCUUAACAGCGUUUCAUGGAUUGUUACACACUACAUUUUUUGAAAAUGUUUAGACUGAUCAAUUACACGUUUUUUAUGAAACAAGUCUCAUUUUCAUGUUGACUUAA